RNAcentral lists this ribosomal RNA (527 nucleotides) under Mycobacteroides abscessus. Its description in RNAcentral is "bacterial SSU rRNA". It matches the Rfam family "Bacterial small subunit ribosomal RNA", at positions 518 to 1048 of the family's 1533-position model. The record is from RNAcentral. Lineage: Bacteria; Bacillati; Actinomycetota; Actinomycetes; Mycobacteriales; Mycobacteriaceae.
CGGUAAUACGUAGGGUGCGAGCGUUGUCCGGAAUUACUGGGCGUAAAGAGCUCGUAGGUGGUUUGUCGCGUUGUUCGUGAAAUCUCACGGCUUAACUGUGGGCGUGCGGGCGAUACGGGCAGAUGGAGUACUGCAGGGGAGACUGGAAUUCCUGGUGUAGCGGUGGAAUGCGCAGAUAUCAGGAGGAACACCGGUGGCGAAGGCGGGUCUCUGGGCAGUAACUGACGCUGAGGAGCGAAAGCGUGGGGAGCGAACAGGAUUAGAUACCCUGGUAGUCCACGCCGUAAACGGUGGGUAUAGGUGUGGGUUUCCUUCCUUGGGAUCCGUGCCGUAGCUAACGCAUAAGUACCCCGCCUGGGGAGUACGGCCGCAAGGUAAAACUCAAAGGAAUUGACGGGGGCCCGCACAAGCGGCGGAGCAUGUGGAUUAAUUCGAUGCAACGCGAAGAACCUUACCUGGGUUUGACAUGCACAGGACGUACCUAGAGAUAGGUAUUCCCUUGUGGCCUGUGUGCAGGUGGUGCAUGG